Molecule: ribosomal RNA, 465 nt
Filed under: uncultured bacterium
Lineage: Bacteria
Description: partial 16S ribosomal RNA
Rfam family: Bacterial small subunit ribosomal RNA
Source: RNAcentral
GAUGAACGCUGGCGGCGUGCUUAACACAUGCAAGUCGAACGGAAAGGCUCCUGCUUGCAGGGGUACUCGAGUGGCGAACGGGUGAGUAACACGUGGGUGAUCUGCCCUGCACUUCGGGAUAAGCCUGGGAAACUGCGUCUAAUACCGGAUAGGACGAUGGUUUGGAUGCCAUUGUGGAAAGUUUUUCGGUGUGGGAUGAGCUCGCGGCCUAUCAGCUUGUUGGUGGGGUAAUGGCCUACCAAGGCGUCGACGGGUAGCCGGCCUGAGAGGGUGUACGGCCACAUUGGGACUGAGAUACGGCCCAGACUCCUACGGGAGGCAGCAGUGGGGAAUAUUGCACAAUGGGCGCAAGCCUGAUGCAGCGACGCCGCGUGGGGGAUGACGGCCUUCGGGUUGUAAACUCCUUUCGCUAGGGACGAAGCGCAAGUGACGGUACCUGGAGAAGAAGCACCGGCUAACUACGUG